CAGCUACUGCCUAGAAGCUCCCUCCCUCCAUCAUGUGUCCCCCCGCUCUAUGGAAGAUGGGAAACAACCUGCAAAGCUGAAAUAUUGGCUAAUGGCUCAGGCCAGAAGAGGAAAAUGUGUUACACUGACUCGUGACCAGUCAGCCUAAAUCUAAUGAUAACAGACUGGACUGUUGGAAAAGAAGAAAGCUGUGCCCCCAAGUUAGGACAACUAACCUAACCAGACCAUUGCUGAGGGUAGGUAGGAAGAAGAAGAGCUUGAUAGCCAGGUGAAAUGGGCAUCUCCUACCACGGUAGCCUGCUGUAUCCUUGCGACCAGCUGACCCAUCUUUAAAACAGUCUAGAUAGAUUUACCUGCAUCCAUUUUGCCUAAAGAAUAAUAACUUUGCAGGAUAAUUCAAACUAUCUUCCAGCUAGGAACCAAAGACUCAGAAGAUGAUGCCCUGCUUUCUUUAUUCCUGACAGCAGAGUGAGCGAGAGAGAGGGCUAAACAACAGAGAGGAUGAUUUAAUUAAAGUGACUUUGAUUGUUUCAUUGUUCUAAAAUCACAGACCUACAGCUGCUGUAUUUCCGUACUUGGAUACUGGAGUCACCUUAUGGUCCCUAAUCAAAACUGCCUUUGUUAAAAGUUGCUAUUCCCCUGCUGAAGGUGAUGUAAUCUGGAAGACAUGGGGAGACUGG
Chrysemys picta bellii (western painted turtle) is the source of this 680-nucleotide long non-coding RNA. RefSeq lists it as uncharacterized. Lineage: Eukaryota; Metazoa; Chordata; Testudines; Emydidae. The record is from RefSeq and is a predicted model, not a curated record.